AACAGGAUUAGAUACCCUGGUAGUCCACCCCGUAAACGAUGUUGACUUGGAGGUUGUGCCCUUGAGGCGUGGCUUCCGGAGCUAACGCGUUAAGUCGACCGCCUGGGGAGUACGGCCGCAAGGUUAAAACUCAAAUGAAUUGACGGGGGCCCGCACAAGCGGUGGAGCAUGUGGUUUAAUUCGAUGCAACGCGAAGAACCUUACCUACUCUUGACAUCCAGAGAACUUUCCAGAGAUGGAUUGGUGCCUUCGGGAACUCUGAGACAGGUGCUGCAUGGCUGUCGUCAGCUCGUGUUGUGAAAUGUUGGGUUAAGUCCCGCAACGAGCGCAACCCUUAUCCUUUGUUGCCAGCGGUUCGGCCGGGAACUCAAAGGAGACUGCCAGUGAUAAACUGGAGGAAGGUGGGGAUGACGUCAAGUCAUCAUGGCCCUUACGAGUAGGGCUACACACGUGCUACAAUGGCGCAUACAAAGAGAAGCGACCUCGCGAGAGCAAGCGGACCUCAUAAAGUGCGUCGUAGUCCGGAUUGGAGUCUGCAACUCGACUCCAUGAAGUCGGAAUCGCUAGUAAUCGUAGAUCAGAAUGCUACGGUGAAUACGUUCCCGGGCCUUGUACACACCGCCCGUCACACCAUGGGAGUGGGUUGCAAAAGAAGUAGGUAGCUUAACCUUCGGGAG
Molecule: ribosomal RNA, 677 nt
Filed under: Cedecea davisae
Lineage: Bacteria; Pseudomonadati; Pseudomonadota; Gammaproteobacteria; Enterobacterales; Enterobacteriaceae
Description: bacterial SSU rRNA
Rfam family: Bacterial small subunit ribosomal RNA
Source: RNAcentral